AGCAGCCGCGGUAAUUCCAGCUCCAAUAGCGUAUAUUAAAGUUGUUGCAGUUAAAAAGCUCGUAGUUGAAUUUUGGAUUCUGCCAGUUGGUCCAUCUUUUGAUGAGUACUGAUUGUGUGGGGUCUAUCCGCCUGGUGAUACGUAAUGUACUUUAUUGUAUGUUGCGGGUAGUCAGGACCUUUACCUUGAAAAAUUAGAGUGUUUAAAGCAGGCUUAUGCCGGAAUACAUUAGCAUGGAAUAAUAGAAUAGGACGAUGUUGUUUUAUUUUGUUGGUUUCUAGGACAACCGUAAUGAUUAAUAGGGAUAGUUGGGGGCAUUAGUAUUCAAUUGUCAGAGGUGAAAUUCUUGGAUUUAUUGAAGACUAACUACUGCGAAAGCGUUUGCCAAGGAUGUUUUCAUUAAUCAAGAACGAAAGUUAGGGGAUCGAAGACGAUCAGAUACCGUCGUAGUCUUAACCAUAAACUAUGCCGACUAGGGAUCGGGCGAUGUUGUUUUCCAUGACUCGCUCGGCACCUUAUA
RNAcentral lists this ribosomal RNA (520 nucleotides) under uncultured Glomeromycotina. RNAcentral describes it as "SSU rRNA". It matches the Rfam family "Eukaryotic small subunit ribosomal RNA", at positions 569 to 1092 of the family's 1831-position model. Lineage: Eukaryota; Fungi; Glomeromycota. The record is from RNAcentral.